CUCCCUACGGGACGCAACAGUAGGGAAUCUUCCACAAUGGACGAAAGUCUGAUGGAGCAACGCCGCGUGAGUGAAGAAGGGUUUCGGCUCGUAAAGCUCUGUUGGUAGUGAAGAAAGAUAGAGGUAGUAACUGGCCUUUAUUUGACGGUAAUUACUUAGAAAGUCACGGCUAACUACGUUCCAGCAGCCCCGGUAAUACGUAGGUGGCAAGCGUUGUCCGGAUUUCUUUGGCGUUAAGC
Molecule: ribosomal RNA, 239 nt
Filed under: uncultured bacterium
Lineage: Bacteria
Description: partial 16S ribosomal RNA
Rfam family: Bacterial small subunit ribosomal RNA
Source: RNAcentral